GGCCUUCCUGAGGUCCGGCCCGCGCCGCCCGCCCCCGAGGGCACCUGCCCAUCGUGCGCCCGGGGCCGCCGGGGAGCGGUCAGGCCGCGGCCGAGACCCUCGCCGCCCGGCUGUCGGCGCCGGUGACCCGCAGACAGACAAAGGCCGUCGGGCGGGUGUGCGGCCCCCUCGUCCUGCGCGCGUGCGGGCGGGGUGGGCGGCGGGGGCGGCCGAGCGGGGCCCCCGCGACCCCGGUGCCCUUUGCGACGAGGCAGCCCUGGCCGCCCAGCCCGUGGGCCGGGCCGCGCGGUGGCCGAGGACAUGUUGCGCAUCCAAGUUCCGGACUGGGUGCCUGGUUAAAGGCGCGACGUGGAGGGGACACGGCGGGCGCUCCUCCUGAGCUCGUCCCCUGGGCCACUCAGAUCCUCCGGGUAGAUUUGGAAAAGACGUCUGGAUCGCCUUAGGCUUCCGUGGAAAGGACACGCACACACACGUGUGUGAUGAGAGGCGGCGUGAAUCCUCAAGUUGGACGUUUGAAAAGACCGUGUCUGCAUUUCUCAGGAACCGUGUGCCCCUGAUUCCAGCCCCCCACCCCCACCCCGGAUUUGGGGCCGUCCAGCCUGGCCUGUGGCCGGUGCGCCAAGGGACCGCCGUGGGCAGGAUCGGGCCAACGCCCCGUGGUGGGCAGCCCGGCUCCCGGGUCUCUGUUUGGCUGGUGUGUCCGUCAGGGAGGGUCAGGAGCACCUCACUCGCCAGCACUACUUGUGGUGGAGCCUUUCACCUGACCCCAGGUGUGUGCUCAGCGCCCUCCUUCCCUCUCGCCACCUGGAGAGGCCUUAUGGGCUGGCAGUGUUGAGAUGGGCCCACACGUGCGGGCAGCUCCUAACUGCUUUUGGUGCCUCGUUACCCUGCACAGUAACCUUGUCACAUGCCGUAUUUCUGUCUACUGUCCUGCUGAGUAAAAUGCACUUUGGAGACAUUUGGAUUCUUCUAUUUAAAUAUUUAUAUGCAGUACUCAGCCGAAUGCAUUCUCAUCAGCGUUUUGGGCCGGGUAAAUGCAAGCUGUUUGCCUUAUUUAUAGAACAAUAGAUUUCGGCAAAAGUUUUAACCUACGAUCUAGGAGCUGUGCUGAAAAGCCAGUCUGCUAGUCACCCUUCCACAGGCAUCAGAAAGUAGAUACCCUGAAAUAUUUUGUUCUCUGGUCGUCGUCUUGCCAGAUAGCUCUGCUUUCUGAAGCUGAGUUCAGACGAUCGCGUUGUGGAGCAGUUGUCACCAGCCCAUGUGGGUGCACCUGCUACAGAUCCCGUUGACCGGUCCAGAGGGUCUGUCCUCAGCCUCUCUCCGUGUAUGCGCUAAGAUGGAUGGAUGGUGGCUCUCGCCCUCCUGAGCACAACCAGUCGUCUUCCCUCAGCACUGGGGCCCUUUCAGGCUGCGAGCCACCCGCUGGAGACGUGAAGUGACCUUGCUAGUUUGAGAUGUGGCUGGAAAGGCCUCUAAUUAGGCAUUACUUAAGGAAUUGAGUCCUCAUCUUGGGAAUCAGUAUGUCCUGCGGAGGAAAGGCUGGCCUCCGGCUUGCUGAGCGCCUCAUGGACCAGGAAGGCCCAGUGUUGGCCUG
This is a long non-coding RNA of Hipposideros armiger (great roundleaf bat), 1594 nucleotides long. RefSeq lists it as uncharacterized. The record is from RefSeq and is a predicted model, not a curated record. The transcript has 3 exons. Lineage: Eukaryota; Metazoa; Chordata; Mammalia; Chiroptera; Hipposideridae.